Long non-coding RNA from Schistocerca cancellata (South American locust), 551 nucleotides. RefSeq lists it as uncharacterized. The transcript has 3 exons. Lineage: Eukaryota; Metazoa; Arthropoda; Insecta; Orthoptera; Acrididae. The record is from RefSeq and is a predicted model, not a curated record.
CAUAUCUCGAAUAACAUAAUAGUUAUGAUUUUUUUCAAUCAGAUGAUUCUUUUUGAUACACCCUGUACUACAACCCCCCUACAUAUUGCUCACAUAGGGAUCAUGAAGGAUGAGGAGGAUGUGCAGUAGAUGAGGAUGUACAGCAGGCAGUUGUGGACUUCUUCACACAGCAGGACAUGGUGUUUUACCAAACAGGUUGAAGCUCCUCACUGGCAUAUGCAGAACUGAAGCCUCACAAUCUGAAACUGCUUUUGUUGUAAGCCAUGUAGUUCAAUGAUGAACACAAAAUAGUUCAGUUUAAUUUUUCAUGAAUUCACAUUUACUUAUAUCAAAUAUUUUCAUUGCAGUGUUGAUCAGUCUCUAUCAAUUGAAAGUUCUUUGUAUAUUAUCCUACUGGCAUAUGUGCCAAAAACUGUCCUACUAACUUUAAUCGAAAAAAAUGUAUUAAGCAAUCAAGUAAAGUGACCUUACUCAAUGUUAUAAACAACAAUGACACUUAGUGGUAGCUCAUCUACACAGUCCAUUCUUGUUACCUAUAAUCAGCUCACUAC